GAGCACGUAGGUGGGUUUGUAAGUCAGACGUGAAAGCCUUCUGUUCAACGGAAGAAUUGCAUCUGGAACUACAAACCUCGAGUGUAGGAGGGGAGAAUGGAACUUCUGGUGGAGCGGUGAAAUGCGUAGAUAUCAGAAGGAACGCCGGCGGCGAAAGCGAUUCUCUGGCCUAUUACUGACACUCAGUGUGCGAAAGCUAGGGGAGCAAACGGGAUUAGAUACCCCGGUAGUCCUAGCCGUAAACGAUGGGCACUAAGUAGAGGG
RNAcentral lists this ribosomal RNA (264 nucleotides) under uncultured Planctomycetota bacterium. RNAcentral's name for it is "uncultured planctomycete partial 16S ribosomal RNA". It matches the Rfam family "Bacterial small subunit ribosomal RNA", at positions 565 to 827 of the family's 1533-position model. The record is from RNAcentral. Lineage: Bacteria; Pseudomonadati; Planctomycetota.